GAAUAUAAGAGCUCAAUAUCCUCUGGAAUGAAAUUUACUUUAUAGUGCUUCCGGUGUCAUGAUCGAAGGAAAUUUUGUGCAUAAAUCCCAACUAUUGACUACACUUUCCUGUUUCAUCAAAAUGAUCAUUAUUUAGUGUUUUGAGAUCCAAAGUAUAGAGGUAUUUUACAAGAAACCUCACCUCUACCGCGUGAAUUGCUUUUCUGACUUCGUCAUUUGUAACAGAGCCAUCCUAAAGAUAUCGUUAGAUUGUGUUACUUGUUUUUGGCAAUAAUCAAGCAAUGAAAUCAAUUAGUAGCUAACAAGUAGAUAUUAAAUAAAUGGUAAAUAUAGAAACUUAGAUAGUAGUAAAGAAACAUAUUAUCCGAGGAGGUGUUUUGUGCAGGACAACCAUUGUCCGAGGAGCUGUUUUGUUCAAUUCUUCCCGAACAUGAUAUUCAAGGCGACUCCAGAUAUCAAAGCGCCAUCACUGCAGAAAAAGCUUCUACCCAACAAAUCCCACUUAGACAUAUAUUUUCAACAACCAAAUUCAUCAUCAAUACAAGUAGCAGACUUAAACCAAGAUGUGAUAAGGGACCUUGUUCAACUAAUCCACAACAUAAAAAGUAACCAAUUCAAGUCAUGCAUACUAUAUUUCAUAAAUUAGCAAGUAUAUACAAGUUAAUUAAGAUAUGCAUAUCAGUAGCUACAAAACUAGUUACACUGAGAUAUCAUUAGACUCUUUCAAGUGUCUGUUUCCUUAGAAAUUAUUCCUUUUCCUUAUAAUUCAUUAAUCAACCAACAAAUACACAUAUUUGGUACAUAUAUUUUAAGCAAACAUCAAUCACAUGAUCAAAGUCAAGAAAACAGAAACUUUUUAUCUUAUAUCAGCAAUUAUAUUUUUAAGUAAAAUCCAUCAUUUCUUAUUUAGACUCAUAUAAGGCAUGCGGUUCCUAACCAUUUCUUCCACUAAUCAAAUGCUGAAAUUUCAAACAUUAUAGGCCUAUAGUUCCUGAUCUCUUCAAACAUUAAAUUUAAUCAUACCGCCAACAUCAUCCUACAUGCAAGAUCAAAAAAAUCACUUAACACUUUAGAUAGAACCCACAUAAACACAAGAAGAUGAAUAGCCAUUCCUUAAUUAAAUUUCACUUAAAUUUAACUAUCAAUUGCUCAUAUGAUCAAGUAAUCAAUUGCUCAAAUGAUCAAGUACAAGGUGUACAUAGAUAAUUGCAAAAAGCUACAAUCAAAACAAAAUAAGAACCAAAGUCUGACUUGCUCUAAAUAUAAGUAAAACAACCCAAAAGCUAUUAUACUAGAAGAGCAAAAACAGAAUUGACACAUAGUGUUAUACCACAGGGCGAAAUAGCAACAGAAGCACUACACACCAUAUAAGUAGAAAUAGAAAAACUAGUAGAAAACAGUCCCUGCAUAAAAACCAAUGACACGUACGGCAGAAACAAAGACAUUGCGAAAAUAGAACCGUCACCUGAGGAGUGGAGUAUGAUAUAUGGUUGUUUGUUCUUGUCUUGUCUGGCUUCUAACAGAUACAAAGUUUGUUUACUGUGUUGAAUCAAUGUAGAUGUUGUCAUGAGGAAGAUAGAAUCCGGAGGAAAUUUCCCUAAAAAUAUAAGGGAAAGAACUUGCGUGAGGAAGAAAAAUAUUGCACAACAAAGUCUACCAAGAAAAAUAUUGCACAACAAAGUCUACCAUGAUAACAAAGUCUACUUACAGAGCAUCUAUUUGGAAUUAAUAACAACAUUAGGACCUAAAAGGGGCAUUUACUUGAAUCUGCAAGUACUUAACAUAGCCAUGUAAAUGUGACAACACCAGAAUUUUGGUGCAAUCCAAACUGAGUCAAGUUAAGUAAAUAGAAAUGUGAACUUCCAAAAGGGAACUCAACAAUAAUGUAGAGGAUGCUUCUAAACUUGAAACAAUAAACAACCAAAUACUCAGUGGUAAAACAUACAGGACACACUCUAACUCAAUCUACUCUAGCAACUUCUAACACCUUGUAAAACACACCUAGCAGUCAAUAAAGCAGAGUAGUAAAAAUACUCUCAUAAUAUAGUGCACAUGUAAAUUGACACCCACAAACAACUCUUAAUUGAUUUGGCAAUGUAAAUUGAACAUUGCACUGAAUUGAAAAUCAUAUAAUGUAACAGGGGAUGGUUAUAACUGAAUUAACCUUGUUCUUUUCAUUUGUGUAAAUAAUCAAAGAAAGAAAGAAAAGGACUUGAAGAAAUUUGGUUUCAAAUUUAGUUUUUUAAGUGUAUUAUUAUUAUUUUCUUUUUUAAGAAUCUUCUUUUCCCAACAAGUUAAAUUGCAGCACAGAAACGUCUCUGCUUAUUGAAACUAAACCUAAACUAGAUUAUAAAAUAGACGAGAAAACAAAUCGAAGCUUAGAAAACAAUAUCAACACAUAAAAUUGAAAUAAAAAACAGUUGGGAGCUACACACUGAGAAAAAGAUAGAUACCUAUAGGUUAAGAAGUGUCGAUAGAUGAAGAUGAUGAGAAAGCUACAACGACUGAAUGCGAAGAUGGCGGCAACGGCGAAGAGGACCCUUGAAAACUCUGAGCGCACAAUGAAGCGAAACAAAAGGGGAAAUUAGAAUGAGAAUCCAUUGAAUAAUGAAGAUAAACCAAAAUCGAAAUGGAAAGUGAC
Molecule: long non-coding RNA, 2641 nt
Filed under: Trifolium pratense (red clover)
Lineage: Eukaryota; Viridiplantae; Streptophyta; Magnoliopsida; Fabales; Fabaceae
Description: long non-coding RNA (TPRA_LNC004948)
Source: RNAcentral